CCCUCAUCUUCUGUCUCACCUUUCUUACAUCAUCCCACCUGCCCGAUUCUGCAAACAAGUUAGAGACUAACACAUAGUGCUCAGCCUUGUCUGGCUCCAGAUCUAACAAUUUCUUUGAAAUUUUUUCACCAAGAUCCAUAUUUCCAUAAGUUCGACAAGCACUUAGUAGUGAACCCCAAAUACUAUAGCUCAUGGAAUCACCUAUAGUUGCAAUGUUCCACAUACCUUUUUGAAUCAAUGAACGAUGAAGCUCAGUGGAAGUUAGCUGUUGCUUUUAUACGGAUUUUGGUGAGUUAAACGGAAGGCCCAUCUGCAUCAGUUGUAAUACGUGUGACUGGUUACAUUCUAUACAACAUAGCAAAUUGUCUCUCCGGUCACAUUUUAUAUGUAAUGACCACAAACUCAAGAACAACAAGGUCAAGAAGUUAAUGCAUGGAGAAAGAGUAUAACGGAUGAUAUAUGGGAUAAUGUUCGUGAAAGGAAGUUAGAAUUGUAUGGAGACCGUUAAAAUGCAAAAAAAAAAAAAAUUAUCUCGUUGCACAACAAUAACAUACUAUUGAUACAGAGGGAGGUGGAAUAGAAUGACCCGGUUGAAGCAUAAUGAUCAUACCUUUCUAAUGCAUUGUACGUCCAUAGGUCCCAUUCUUCUACCUUUUCCCGGGAGUCGAUGAUUAUUCAUAGCUAUUACCUUGACUUCAAAGAAGAGUUCGACCCAAUGUUUAUUUUUGUCCUAGUUGAUCUUAAUUCGACAUUAGAAGUAUAUUGAUUGUUCCCCAAU
Papaver somniferum (opium poppy) is the source of this 778-nucleotide long non-coding RNA. RefSeq lists it as uncharacterized. Lineage: Eukaryota; Viridiplantae; Streptophyta; Magnoliopsida; Ranunculales; Papaveraceae. The transcript has 3 exons. The record is from RefSeq and is a predicted model, not a curated record.